Molecule: ribosomal RNA, 253 nt
Filed under: uncultured bacterium
Lineage: Bacteria
Description: partial 16S ribosomal RNA
Rfam family: Bacterial small subunit ribosomal RNA
Source: RNAcentral
UACGGAGGGUGCGAGCGUUGUCCGGAAUUAUUGGGCGUAAAGGGCUCGUAGGCGGUUUGUCGCGUCGGGUGUGAAAACCCAGGGCUUAACCCUGGGCUGGCUUCCGAUACGGGCAGACUAGAGGUAUGCAGGGGAGAACGGAAUUCCUGGUGUAGCGGUGAAAUGCGCAGAUAUCAGGAGGAACACCGGUGGCGAAGGCGGUUCUCUGGGCAUGUCCUGACGCUGAGGAGCGAAAGUGUGGGGAGCGAACAGG